AGUAGAGGAAGGAGGAGAAAACUGGGAAGAAAGAGGAAGAAGCAGCAGACGCAAGGGAAGAAGAAUACCAGAGAGGAGGAGAAGAAAACCAUGGGCAACAAGUCCAGUUAAUUUCCAAUCAUCGGAGCUCUCUCUGGCUGUUUGACACACUGCGACAUCACUACUGCCCUCCUGUUUCUAUGUAUAUGUUUCACACCAUGAUCUGUGCAUAUGCACAUUUCAAUGCAUUUUACAUAUAUUUCCCGAUAUAUCUUCUGUUGUCGAAGCAAAAACUGCUAAAAUUGCAGUUAAAGAUAUCAGUUCUGGUUCAUAUGCAACAAUUUUCAAUAACGAGGUAAAGUCGCGUUAGUGCUGACAUUUAAAUGUUAUUGAUUGUCAUAUAUGAUAAACAGCAUUUGCUAGGUUCAGGAGCUUUCCAUAACAUGUUAAAUUAUGUGACUUCAUUUCUCCAUUAGGUUUCAGGAUCUAAAUUAUGUGUAUUUUUUUGGUAUUGCAAAUAUGUGGUCUAUUACUUCUUUGAUGGUUGACGUACAGCUGAUUUUUGAUCCACGUUAAUCUGUUACCUUGAUUUACAUGCAGCCUCACCCAUUUAGUUUCACGUUUCAACACAUUUCCGCUGGAGUAUAGUUAUUGAUGCAGCACUUUUUGUUUUCUGCAAUUAAUCCUCGAAAAAUAUAAAUUGUUCCUAUAGAUGAGACGAAGGGUGAAGCAAUUCCCAUUGGCAUUCUACAAAGCAACUCCAUCCUCCAAAAAUAUGAAUUUACGAUGGGUGAAGCCAGUCACGAUGGGUGCAGCAAGCCCCUUUGGUAUUCUACAAAGCAACUCCAUCGUGUUUGUUCUUGGAAUCCGAAUUUCCUGGUUGGAUGUUCAAAUUGAAAAGCGCCAAUCAAUAGGGUACUAAGUACAACUGAGAACAAGAAUCAUAUAAACUGCAGCACAUAGAGAGCUCGAUAAAUGUAGUUUCUCCACUUAUUUAAGAUCCUAAAAGAUGAUAUUUUAUUGUUUUUUGGAUGAA
This is a long non-coding RNA of Olea europaea var. sylvestris, 1015 nucleotides long. RefSeq lists it as uncharacterized. Lineage: Eukaryota; Viridiplantae; Streptophyta; Magnoliopsida; Lamiales; Oleaceae. The transcript is spliced from 2 exons. The record is from RefSeq and is a predicted model, not a curated record.